This 335-nucleotide long non-coding RNA is filed under the name Capsicum annuum. Its description in RNAcentral is "long non-coding RNA (CANN_LNC009249)". The record is from RNAcentral. Lineage: Eukaryota; Viridiplantae; Streptophyta; Magnoliopsida; Solanales; Solanaceae.
AAUGAUAGCAAAUAUUCAGCAAAGGAUAGCACCUUUCCCUGAUCUUCCCUUUGCCCAUCUAAUAAUCCAGUCUACUUCUUGCUGCCAGUUCCCUAUGUUUCUAUGAAUUCCCAUCCAUGUAAGUAAUCUGCACCAUAGACCCCUUGUAAUUGGACAGUCAAAGUACAAGUGAUCAUGUGUUUCUAUAGUAUUACGACAGAAUGCACAAGCCAUAUCAACAUUAAUCCCAAACUUUGCUAGUCGAUCAACUGUAGCCAAUCUUUUUAACAAUGCAAGCCAUAGGAUGAAGUUGUGCCUCGGGUGGAUGCUUGAGUGAAGUACUAUGCUCUUCCAGG